This 234-nucleotide ribosomal RNA is filed under the name uncultured bacterium. RNAcentral's name for it is "partial 16S ribosomal RNA". It matches the Rfam family "Bacterial small subunit ribosomal RNA", at positions 99 to 334 of the family's 1533-position model. The record is from RNAcentral.
CGGACGGGUGAGUAACGCGUGGGUAACCUGCCUCACACAGGGGAUAACAGUUAGAAAUGACUGCUAAUACCGCAUAACCCGAUAGGAUCGCAUGAUCCAGACGGAAAAGAUUUAUCGGUGUGAGAUGGACCCGCGUCUGAUUAGCUAGUUGGUGAGGUAACGGCCCACCAAGGCGACGAUCAGUAGCCGGCCUGAGAGGGUGAACGGCCACAUUGGGACUGAGACACGGCCCAA